RNAcentral lists this ribosomal RNA (1343 nucleotides) under uncultured bacterium. RNAcentral describes it as "16S ribosomal RNA". It matches the Rfam family "Bacterial small subunit ribosomal RNA", at positions 28 to 1386 of the family's 1533-position model. The record is from RNAcentral.
GACGAACGCUGGCGGCGCGCCUAACACAUGCAAGUCGAACGGAGUUGUGUUGAAAGCUUGCUGGAUAUACAACUUAGUGGCGGACGGGUGAGUAACACGUGAGUAACCUGCCUCUCAGAGUGGAAUAACGUUUGGAAACGAACGCUAAUACCGCAUAACGUGAGAAGAGGGCAUCCUCUUUUUACCAAAGAUUUAUCGCUGAGAGAUGGGCUCGCGGCCGAUUAGGUAGUUGGUGAGAUAACAGCCCACCAAGCCGACGAUCGGUAGCCGGACUGAGAGGUUGAUCGGCCACAUUGGGACUGAGACACGGCCCAGACUCCUACGGGAGGCAGCAGUGGGGGAUAUUGCACAAUGGGGGAAACCCUGAUGCAGCGACGCCGCGUGAGGGAAGACGGUUUUCGGAUUGUAAACCUCUGUCUUUAGGGACGAAAAAAUGACGGUACCUAAGGAGGAAGCCACGGCUAACUACGUGCCAGCAGCCGCGGUAAUACGUAGGUGGCAAGCGUUGUCCGGAAUUACUGGGUGUAAAGGGAGCGUAGGCGGGGAGACAAGUUGAAUGUCUAAACUAUCGGCUUAACUGAUAGUCGCGUUCAAAACUAUCACUCUUGAGUGCAGUAGAGGUAGGCGGAAUUCCUAGUGUAGCGGUGAAAUGCGUAGAUAUUAGGAGGAACACCAGUGGCGAAGGCGGCCUACUGGGCUGUAACUGACGCUGAGGCUCGAAAGCGUGGGUAGCAAACAGGAUUAGAUACCCUGGUAGUCCACGCCGUAAACGAUGAUUAUUAGGUGUGGGGGGACUGACCCCCUUCCGUGCCGGAGUUAACACAAUAAGUAAUCCACCUGGGGAGUACGACCGCAAGGUUGAAACUCAAAGGAAUUGACGGGGGCCCGCACAAGCAGUGGAGUAUGUGGUUUAAUUCGAAGCAACGCGAAGAACCUUACCAGGUCCUGACAUCGAGCGACGAACUUAGAGAUAAGUUCUUCCUUCGGGACGCGAAGACAGGUGGUGCAUGGUUGUCGUCAGCUCGUGUCGUGAGAUGUUGGGUUAAGUCCCGCAACGAGCGCAACCCUUAUCAUUAGUUGCUACGCAAGAGCACUCUAAUGAGACUGCCGUUGAUAAAACGGAGGAAGGUGGGGAGGACGUCAAAUCAUCAUGCCCCCUAUGACCUGGGCUACACACGUACUACAAUGGUGAUCAAACAGAGGGAAGCAACACAGCGAUGUGAAGCAAAUCCCGAAAAAUCAUCUCAGUUCAGAUUGCAGGCUGCAACUCGCCUGCAUGAAGUCGGAAUUGCUAGUAAUCGCGGAUCAGCAUGCCGCGGUGAAUAAGUUCCCGGGCCUUGCAC